Molecule: ribosomal RNA, 371 nt
Filed under: uncultured bacterium
Lineage: Bacteria
Description: partial 16S ribosomal RNA
Rfam family: Bacterial small subunit ribosomal RNA
Source: RNAcentral
UGGGGAAUUUUGGACAAUGGGCGAAAGCCUGAUCCAGCAAUGCCGCGUGUGUGAAGAAGGCCUUCGGGUUGUAAAGCACUUUUGUCCGGAAAGAAAUCCUUGGCUCUAAUACAGUCGGGGGAUGACGGUACCGGAAGAAUAAGCACCGGCUAACUACGUGCCAGCAGCCGCGGUAAUACGUAGGGUGCAAGCGUUAAUCGGAAUUACUGGGCGUAAAGCGUGCGCAGGCGGUUUGCUAAGACCGAUGUGAAAUCCCCGGGCUCAACCUGGGAACUGCAUUGGUGACUGGCAGGCUAGAGUAUGGCAGAGGGGGGUAGAAUUCCACGUGUAGCAAGUGAAAUGCGUAGAGAUGUGGAGGAAUACCGAUGGCG